GGCAGCAGUGGGGAAUAUUGCACAAUGGGCGCAAGCCUGAUGCAGCCAUGCCGCGUGUAUGAAGAAGGCCUUCGGGUUGUAAAGUACUUUCAGCAGUGAGGAAGGCGGAUGCGUUAAUAGCGUAUUCGUUUGACGUUAGCUGCAGAAGAAGCACCGGCUAACUCCGUGCCAGCAGCCGCGGUAAUACGGAGGGUGCGAGCGUUAAUCGGAAUUACUGGGCGUAAAGCGCAUGCAGGUGGUGUGUUAAGUCAGAUGUGAAAGCCCGGGGCUCAACCUCGGAAUAGCAUUUGAAACUGGCACACUAGAGUACUGUAGAGGGGGGUAGAAUUUCAGGUGUAGCGGUGAAAUGCGUAGAGAUCUGAAGGAAUACCAGUGGCGAAGGCGGCCCCCUGGACAGAUACUGACACUCAGAUGCGAAAGCGUGGGGAGCAAACAGGAUUAGAUACCCUGGUAGUCCACGCCGUAAACGAUGUCUACUUGGAGGUUGUGGCCUUGAGCCGUGGCUUUCGGAGCUAACGCGUUAAGUAGACCGCCUGGGGAGUACGGUCGCAAGAUUAAAACUCAAAUGAAUUGACGGGGGCCCGCACAAGCGGUGGAGCAUGUGGUUUAAUUCGAUGCAACGCGAAGAACCUUACCUACUCUUGACAUCCAGAGAACUUUCCAGAGAUGGAUUGGUGCCUUCGGGAA
Molecule: ribosomal RNA, 687 nt
Filed under: Vibrio sp.
Lineage: Bacteria; Pseudomonadati; Pseudomonadota; Gammaproteobacteria; Vibrionales; Vibrionaceae
Description: bacterial SSU rRNA
Rfam family: Bacterial small subunit ribosomal RNA
Source: RNAcentral